GUCGCACCUACCGAUUGAAUGGUCCGGUGAAUACUCGGGAUUGUGGCCUGGCGCCUUCACUGGGGCCUGGCCGCGAGAACUUGUCUAAACCUUAUCAUUUAGAGGAAGGUG
Molecule: ribosomal RNA, 111 nt
Filed under: uncultured eukaryote
Lineage: Eukaryota
Description: partial small subunit ribosomal RNA
Rfam family: Eukaryotic small subunit ribosomal RNA
Source: RNAcentral